GAGCGCGCCCUUCGGGGUGAGCGGCGGACGGGUUAGUAACGCGUGGGAACGUACCCUUUGGUAGGGAAUAGCCACUGGAAACGGUGAGUAAUACCCUAUGAGCCCUUCGGGGGAAAGAUUUAUCGCCAAAGGAUCGGCCCGCGUUAGAUUAGGUAGUUGGUGGGGUAAUGGCCUACCAAGCCUACGAUCUAUAGCUGGUUUUAGAGGAUGAUCAGCAACACUGGGACUGAGACACGGCCCAGACUCCUACGGGAGGCAGCAGUGGGGAAUCUUGGACAAUGGGGGCAACCCUGAUCCAGCCAUGCCGCGUGAGUGAAGAAGGCCUUAGGGUCGUAAAGCUCUUUCGCCUGUGAAGAUAAUGACGGUAGCAGGUAAAGAAACCCCGGCUAACUCCGUGCCAGCAGCCGCGGUAAUACGGAGGGGGUUAGCGUUGUUCGGAAUUACUGGGCGUAAAGCGCGCGUAGGCGGAUUGGAAAGUUGGGGGUGAAAUCCCGGGGCUCAACCCCGGAACUGCCUCCAAAACUCCCAGUCUUGAGUUCGAGAGAGGUGAGUGGAAUUCCGAGUGUAGAGGUGAAAUUCGUAGAUAUUCGGAGGAACACCAGUGGCGAAGGCGGCUCACUGGCUCGAUACUGACGCUG
Molecule: ribosomal RNA, 638 nt
Filed under: Ruegeria pomeroyi
Lineage: Bacteria; Pseudomonadati; Pseudomonadota; Alphaproteobacteria; Rhodobacterales; Roseobacteraceae
Description: bacterial SSU rRNA
Rfam family: Bacterial small subunit ribosomal RNA
Source: RNAcentral